This is a transfer RNA of Metarhizium acridum CQMa 102, 92 nucleotides long. It matches the Rfam family "tRNA". Rfam says of the family: Transfer RNA (tRNA) molecules are approximately 80 nucleotides in length. Their secondary structure includes four short double-helical elements and three loops (D, anti-codon, and T loops). Lineage: Eukaryota; Fungi; Ascomycota; Sordariomycetes; Hypocreales; Clavicipitaceae. The record is from Rfam.
GGUCCGGUGGUGUAAAGGCUAGCAUUCUAGACUUUGACUUCGGCAUUGGCUCAUUUAAUCUGGCGAUCCGGGUUCGAAUCCCGGCCGGACCU